RNAcentral lists this ribosomal RNA (485 nucleotides) under uncultured bacterium. RNAcentral describes it as "partial 16S ribosomal RNA". It matches the Rfam family "Bacterial small subunit ribosomal RNA", at positions 29 to 506 of the family's 1533-position model. The record is from RNAcentral.
AUUGAACGCUGGCGGCAUGCCUUACACAUGCAAGUCGAACGGCAGCACGGGUGCUUGCACCUGGUGGCGAGUGGCGAACGGGUGAGUAAUACAUCGGAACAUGUCCUGUAGUGGGGGAUAGCCCGGCGAAAGCCGGAUUAAUACCGCAUACGAUCUACGGAUGAAAGCGGGGGACCUUCGGGCCUCGCGCUAUAGGGUUGGCCGAUGGCUGAUUAGCUAGUUGGUGGGGUAAAGGCCUACCAAGGCGACGAUCAGUAGCUGGUCUGAGAGGACGACCAGCCACACGGGGACUGAGACACGGCCCAGACUCCUACGGGAGGCAGCAGUGGGGAAUUUUGGACAAUGGGCGAAAGCCUGAUCCAGCAAUGCCGCGUGUGUGAAGAAGGCCUUCGGGUUGUAAAGCACUUUUGUCCGGAAAGAAAUCCUUGGCCCUAAUACGGUCGGGGGAUGACGGGACCGGAAGAAUAAGCACCGGCGAACUACGG